CAAACAUCUAAUGCUGGCAAAAGACAGCAAUGGCGGCUCGUGGAGCCUCUCAAUAGUUCCCGGAAGUAGCGGCAAACCGAUGCCGCGCCGUAGAAGAUGCAGCAGAACAAACCGUUUGCAACGCACUUUUAACAGACCCUGGUAUCUGGCUGAUGGUUCACUGGAAUGCUGACUGGCUGCUGACUGACUUGCUGCUGGUUGACUGGGCAGUGUCACCUGUCCCUGUCUCUCCUCUCUAGCCAUGUCCUUUUUCUUCACUCUCACUUUCCCUUCUCUGAGUGUCCUCGUUCUUUUUUCCUCAACCUUUGAAACUGAUAGAGGUCUAGGGGUGCAUCGUGGAGCAGGGCCCUCCUCUUUUUGACCACAGGACGGUGUACAAAGAUUGUGGGAAUAGCAUCUGGUCUCAGCCUACUCUUGAAUUUUUUGGUCAUGACAAAUUGCUUUGCCACAAUUUGUCUGCAUACUGACUUCAGUUUAGUUUCCACACUCACCUUUUUUUUUUGUCUACCCACUUACAGUACAUAUCACAUGGUGGUUAAAUGCACAGUUAUAGGUAACACUGAUGACUCCCUGCAAUGUCUCACCAUGAGUCUCAGCUCCCUGGGUUUUGCAAGGCUUUGCUUGUUCCUUAUUUCUAGUAAAACAUUGUCAAUGUAAAAAAGUGCAAAUAAAUUUAAGUAUAAUUACCUAACAAUUUUUUGUUGUUGUAAUUUUUAUUUGUAUUUAGAUUGCUCCUGCUGACUUGAGCCAACCAUUAUUUUCUCCUCUCUAUGUCAGCUGGGAAGAUAUACAUUCGCACACCUUUCUCUGACUGAGUGGAGCAUCCCCAUGCAGCACAGUAAACCACGGUGGAGACUUUGCAAGGACAACAUGAAAGAAAGGACACAUACAAAAUGCUUGUCAUGCUAUUAAAUUUAUUAGAAAUGUAUUCAUGAAUUGCUGUAAAUAGUUAAUUGUAUAAUUGCAAUUUAAAAUAACUGUUUUCUAUUUUAAAAUGGAAUAUACUCCUGUGAUGCCAACCUGAA
Carassius gibelio (silver crucian carp) is the source of this 1025-nucleotide long non-coding RNA. RefSeq lists it as uncharacterized. Lineage: Eukaryota; Metazoa; Chordata; Actinopteri; Cypriniformes; Cyprinidae. The record is from RefSeq and is a predicted model, not a curated record. The transcript is spliced from 4 exons.